GCUCCGGUGGCCUAGUGGUUAGAUCGUCCGCCUCGGAUGCGAGAGGUCAUGGGUUCGAUCCCCAGUCGAGUCA
Non-coding RNA from Potamilus streckersoni, 73 nucleotides. The record is from the annotation of a GenBank genome assembly. Lineage: Eukaryota; Metazoa; Mollusca; Bivalvia; Unionida; Unionidae.